AUGUGUGGCUUAGGAGAGAUUUGUUACGAUGCUUAUGAAGCCCCCCCUGAUUAUAUGCAUAGUAAAAUAGGUAAGUGCGGGAGCUCCCCCUUAAUGCGUGCUUUGAAGAUAAUAGCAUGAUAUAACAUUGCACCAUAAUAGUUCAACAAUACAUAGCAUAUCAUAAGAAUCAAUAAUUCAUAGCAUAUCAUAUGAAUCAAGGCAUAGCAUAUGAAUCAAUAGGAUAGCAUAAAACUCAUCAUCAUAUGACACAAUGAUAAUAUCAUGAUAUCUCAUCACCACAUGAUAGUUUAACAAUACAUCAUCCAUAAGUGAUGGCAUAGCACAUCAUCCAUAAGUAUCGUUACAUGAUGACACAUCAUUAAGUUCGACAUAAUACAUCAUACCAUACAUUAUGAGAGAGACUAAAAUCGAAACUAAGAUAAGAUAAUGUCCUCCCCCUUUGGCAUCAAGGACCAAAAAGGAAGGAACCCGACAAUGCUACCA
This 486-nucleotide long non-coding RNA is filed under the name Hordeum vulgare. RNAcentral's name for it is "long non-coding RNA (HVUL_LNC005546)". Lineage: Eukaryota; Viridiplantae; Streptophyta; Magnoliopsida; Poales; Poaceae. The record is from RNAcentral.